GACGAACGCUGGCGGCGUGCCUAACACAUGCAAGUCGAAGAGAAUCAUUUGAACAGAGGCUUGGCCGACGGAAUUUUGAGGAAGUGGCGAACGGGUGAGUAACGCGUGAGAAACCUGCCUUUCAGUGGGGGACAACAGUUGGAAACGACUGCUAAUACCGCAUAACAUGUACGGACCGCAUGAUCUGUACAUCAAAGCUUUAUGUGCUGAAAGAUGGCCUCGCGUCUGAUUAGAUAGUUGGUGGGGUAACGGCCCACCAAGUCGACGAUCAGUAGCCGGUCUGAGAGGAUGAACGGCCACAAUGGGACUGAGACACGGCCCAUACUCCUACGGGAGGCAGCAGUGGGGAAUAUUGGGCAAUGGGCGAAAGCCUGACCCAGCGACGCCGCGUGAGGGAAGAAGGUCUUCGGAUUGUAAACCUUUGUUGACAGGGAAGAAACAAAUGACGUAACCUGUCGAGGAAGCCACGGCUAACUACGUG
This 481-nucleotide ribosomal RNA is filed under the name uncultured bacterium. Its description in RNAcentral is "bacterial SSU rRNA". It matches the Rfam family "Bacterial small subunit ribosomal RNA", at positions 28 to 507 of the family's 1533-position model. The record is from RNAcentral.